Molecule: non-coding RNA, 96 nt
Organism: Alphaproteobacteria bacterium CG1_02_46_17
Lineage: Bacteria; Pseudomonadati; Pseudomonadota; Alphaproteobacteria
Source: Rfam
GGAAGAUCGGCGCGGGCGAAAAUCUCGCUAAUCCGGUCAGGGCCGAAAGGCAGCAGCCGCAACGAAUUCUUUUCGGGUCGUGUCCGGUCUUCCACC